UAAAUAAAAUUAUUUUUAAUUAAUUAUUAAUUAAUUAACUAAUGAUUAAUGAUUAAUUAUUAAUUGCAGGGAGAUCCUGGUGGAGGAGAGCAACGUUCAGCGCGUCGACUCCCCGGUGACCGUGAGUGAACAAAGCCCCGAAAAUUCCACAAAAUUCCGGGAAAAUUCCCAAAAACUUUCCGGAAAAAAUUCCGGAAGAAUUCCCGAAAAUUCCGGGAAAAAAAUCCGGAAAAUUCCCAAAAAAAUCCGGAAAAUUAAAAAAAAAAUUCCGGAAAAAUUUCAGAAAAUUCCGCAAAAUUCCACAAAAAUUCCCCAAAAGAUUGCAGAAAAAUUUCAGAAAAUUCCGGGGAAAAAAUCCAGAAAAUUCCACAAAAUUCUGGAAAAAUUCCCAAAAUAUUCCGGAAAAAUUCCUGAAAAUUCCGGGGGAAAAAAAUCCAGAAAAUUCCACAAAAUUCUGGAAAAAUUCCCAGAAAAAUGCCCCAAAAAAUUCCGGAAAAAUUCCAGAAAAAUUCCACAGAAUUCUGGAAAAUUCCAGAAAAAAUUCCAGAAAAAUUCCACAGAAUUCCGGAAAAAUUCCCCGAAAAAUUCAGGAAAAAUUCCCGAAAAUUCCAGGAAAAAAUCCGGAAAAUUCCCAAAAAAAUUCCAGAAAAAUUCCAGAAAAUUACACAAAAAUUCCCCAAAAGAUUCCGGAAAAAUUCCUGAAAAUUCCGGGGAAAAAAUCCAGAAAAUUCCACAAAUUUCUGGAAAAAUUCCCCCCAAAAAUUCCAGGAAAAUUCAAGAAAAUUCCAGAAAAAAUCACCAAAAAAUUCCGGGAAAAUUCCUGAAAAUUCCAGGGAAAAAAAAUCCAGAAAAUUCCACAAAAUUCCGGAAAAUUCCAGAAAAAUUCCCAAAAAAAUUCCAGAAAAAUUCCCAAAAAAAAUCCGGAAUAAAAUCCCGAAAAUUCUGGGAAAAAAAAUCCAGAAAAUUCCACAGAAUUCCGGAAAAUUCCAGAAAAAUUCCCCAAAAAAUUCCGGAAAAAU
RNAcentral lists this long non-coding RNA (1019 nucleotides) under Zonotrichia albicollis (white-throated sparrow). RNAcentral's name for it is "lncRNA (ENSZALG00000002191.1)". Lineage: Eukaryota; Metazoa; Chordata; Aves; Passeriformes; Passerellidae. The record is from RNAcentral.